This 2046-nucleotide long non-coding RNA is filed under the name Aquilegia coerulea. RNAcentral describes it as "long non-coding RNA (ACOE_LNC001185)". The record is from RNAcentral. Lineage: Eukaryota; Viridiplantae; Streptophyta; Magnoliopsida; Ranunculales; Ranunculaceae.
AAUUAGUAAGCUAAUUGGACCUUCUUCUAAUAUGUCUUCUAUUUUUGAUGUCAUUUUUAAGACAUCUUUUAAUAUGUCUUCUGAUCCAAUUAGUAAGCUAAUUCUAUUUUCCAAUAAGUUGGCGUGAUCUUCUAUUUUCGUUAAUUUUUGCAUUGUUAGUAAGCUAAUUCUAUCUUCUUCUAAUAUGUCUUCUGUUUGUUGCAGAUCUCAAACAACCACAGUUCCUUGCUUUGAAUCAAUUUAGUUGGACUUAUAGAAGUUUGCUUUUCAUCCUGUUUUUAUCUCUUAGCUCCUUUUCCUUUAACUACAACUUAUUUGAAAAGUAUGAUCGAGAUUAACCACAAAUGCUAUUGAUUGUUUUUAUCUGGGGUUAUGUUGUAUGCCACUUCAAAAAAAAAAAAAAAAAAAAUCCAAAUUAACGUGGUGAUAGAAGUACUGACUACAAUACAAAAUUAACGGAAACGUAUCAUGUCAGAUUACUAAUUUUGUAAGAUAGAGUCGUAACAGUGCCAACAACUGAUCCUAUAGAUAAAUUCUCAAGUUAAAUUAGUGCAGUGUAGUAUUAGUUCAGUGUACCUAUGCAAUGUAGCAUUAUAGAAUCACAUGUAGCUACCUUUGGUUCACAGACAUGGUGACUAAAGAAGAUCAUAAACAGAAUGUUGUCCGUCUCCUUGCACGUUGUUAUCACACUAAGAGAUAUCAAUACAGAGAUAAUAUUAGAGAAAUGAUUAAAGUGCAGACAAUGAAAUGUUGUUGUUAGAUUUAUUUUUUUAUUUUUUCUGUUCGUUAGUUUAUGACAUGUUAAGAAGGAAAAAUAAUAUCUAAGCUCUCCACUCUAAAUUUAGAUCUCUUAAUAUUUGGUUUAUUAAUAAUCCAAGUGUACAAAUUCGUAUGAACCUUAAAUAUUAUUGAUUGUUUUUAUCUGGGCUUUUAUGUUGUAUGACACAUCAAAAAAAGAAAAAAAAAAUCCCUCUAGAUUCAUUGAAGAGCUUGAGCCAUAAAAUCAAAAUGAAAAAAAAGAAGACAAAAUAUAUGAUUCCUUAAGAUUCUUUCUCAUAAGGUAUUUUUAUUUGAUCCAAAUUUAAUUGAUAGUGUCAAUACCAAUUUUACACAAUUACUACUCCACCGGCUUAAGAUCCAACAGUGAACCUGUAUAAAAAAAAAAUCCCUCUAGAUUCAUUGAAGAGUUUGAGCAAAAAAAAAAAAAAAGACAUAGUUGAUCAUCUUUGUCUAACAAUUUGACAUUAACUAGAACGAAUCAGUUCAAGUUUUCAAAAGUCUUCCCUUUUAAAGGGCUCAGUUUUAGACGACUUGAUGUUUAGUAUAUUUUGAACCGUUCGUGACUCCUUAGACAUAUGUGACUUGCUUAGCAACUGUGCUAUUGGAGUGUUUCAAUCUUUUAGCCCUUAUAUCAUGUUGUAAUGUGCGAGCUUGAACAGUCUCAUGCCAAGACAAUAGAUAGACCUUCUACUUUCAACCCUCGCUCCAGAUUUGAAUCUCUCACAAAUAACUAUCAUUAGCUUGCAUUGUGAUUGUUAGUAUUGUUCUCAAUCAUGUUAACAUUAAAGGUUUUCAAUCAUUAAAGGGAUGAGCAAUUAAUAAACAAAAAAAAAAAAGAUAAAAAGGAAUGGACUCCAAGAGUUACUUCAACUUUUUUAAUUGGACGGAUGUAUUUUGAAAAUCCUUAUUAAAAUGUUAUAUUUUAAAUUUAACCAUUGUCAAAGGGCUGAGUUAUUUUGAAUCUCUGUAUUAGGUAGAUGACAUCGAAUACAAGACGUACAUAGAAGCAUGUAUUGAUCGUGGUUUACUAGAAGAUGACAAUGAAUGGGAUAAAUGUUGAGAAGAAGCGGUCAUAAUGAAAACUGGAUGUCAGGUACGCAGACUUUUCCCUUCAUUUUUAAAUUUUAGAGGGUUAUACUUUCAAAUUACUUCAUUAUUAGUUUUCAUAAAGCAGAGAGUUAUUCACACAAUCGACUUAAAAGUGGACCCAACUAAGCCUUAAUAGUUAAUAUCACUACAGUUUCAAGCUGAAUGUUUUCAAUAAAC